UGGGAAAAGCUCAACUUUGAAAUCUGGUACUUUCAGUAUCCGAAUUGUAGUCUCAAGAAGUGUUUUCUGUGCCGGUCCAUGUAUGAGUCUGUUGGAACACAGCGUCAUAGAGGGUGACAACCCCGUUCAUGACAUGGAUCCCGGUGCUUUGUGAUACACUCUCGAAGAGUCGAGUUGUUUGGGAAUGCAGCUCAAAUUGGGUGGUAAAUUCCAUCUAAAGCUAAAUAUUGGCGAGAGACCGAUAGCAAACAAGUACCGUGAGGGAAAGAUGAAAAGCACUUUGGAAAGAGAGUUAACAGUACGUGAAAUUGUUGAAAGGGAAACGAUUGAAGUCAGACGUGCGUGAUGCGGUUCAGCUUUAGUUCGCUAGAGUGUACUCCGUAUCUUUGCAGGCCAACAUCGGUUUUGUUAGUCGGAUAAAGGUUUGAGAAAUGUGGCACCUUCGGGUGUGUUAUAGUC
RNAcentral lists this ribosomal RNA (459 nucleotides) under Cystobasidium laryngis. Its description in RNAcentral is "eukaryotic LSU rRNA". It matches the Rfam family "Eukaryotic large subunit ribosomal RNA", at positions 99 to 561 of the family's 3401-position model. The record is from RNAcentral. Lineage: Eukaryota; Fungi; Basidiomycota; Cystobasidiomycetes; Cystobasidiales; Cystobasidiaceae.